RNAcentral lists this ribosomal RNA (1080 nucleotides) under Triticum aestivum (bread wheat). RNAcentral's name for it is "partial small subunit ribosomal RNA". Lineage: Eukaryota; Viridiplantae; Streptophyta; Magnoliopsida; Poales; Poaceae. The record is from RNAcentral.
AUGAAGCUCAUUCUUGCCUUCUCCAUUCUCUUCCUCUCCUGUAUCUAUGGCGCGAGCUCCGACUCACGCUUCUUCACCGCCAUGUAUUCCCUCGGGGACUCCUACAUCGACGCCGGCAACUUUGUGAUCAUGGCGGCUGCGUUGGUCCCGCCUUUUCCUUCCUGGCAUGACAGGCUUCCUUAUGGCAUGACCUUCUUUGGCCACCCCACAGGCCGCCUCAGCGACGGCAGAAACACCAUCGAUUUCAUCGCCCAGGAGUUUGGUCUCCCCCUUCUUGGACCUCUGCUGAAUGACUCGGACGCCUCCAAAGGCGUAAACUUCGCUGUCGGCGGCGCACCGGUGAUCGACGUCGACUACUUCGAGAGGAACAAUAUAGUUCAAUUUAAGCUGCUCAACAAUUCUCUGAGCGUGCAGUUGGGCUGGUUCGAGGAACUCAGGCCAGUGAUUUGCAACAAGACCGAGACCUCAGGGUGCGGAGGUUGCUUCAGCAAGGCUCUCUUCUUCGUUGGGGAGUUUGGAGUGAACGACUACAACUUCCUGUGGUUUGCCGGCAAGACUGAAGACGAAGUGAUGUCGCAUGUACCUACAGUUGUCCAAAACAUUGCCACGGCCGUGGAGAACCCACCGCUGGGGUGCUCACCCACCAUGCUGACGAGCCGCUCCGGCCUCAACACGACGGAGUACGACCCCAUGGGCUGCCUCAUCGACGUCAACCGCGUGGCCACGCACCACAACUCCCGGCUCCGUACUGCAAUAGUCUCUCUCAGGGGCAAGUACCCCCGUGCCACCAUCAUCUUGGCCGACUUCUACAGCCCCAUCAUCAAGAUCCUCCGCAACCCCAGCCAUUACGGGAUGGCCGAGGCGGACGCUCUCCGGGCCUGCUGCGGAGCCGGCGGCACUUACAACUGGAACGGCAGCGCCAUCUGCGGCAUGCCGGGGGCGACCGCCUGCGAGAACCCGUCGGCGUUCGUCAACUGGGAUGGAGUUCACUACACGGAGGCCACCAACGGGUACAUCGCCGACUGGUGGCUCAACGGCCCUUUCGCCGACCCGCCUAUAAUGAGUGUUGUUCGCUACUGA